UACGUAGGAUGCAAGCGUUGUCCGGAAUUAUUGGGCGUAAAGAGCGCGCAGGCGGUAUGACAAGUCAGAUGUGAAAGAGGCCGGCUUAACCGGCAAGGGUCAUUUGAAACUGUCAGACUAGAGUGCAGCAGAGGAUAGUGGAAUUCCCGGUGUAGUGGUGAAAUGCGUAGAGAUCCGGAGGAACACCAGUGGCGAAGGCGACACGCUGGGCCGUACCUGACACUGAUGCGCGACAGCAUGGGGAGCAAACAGG
This 253-nucleotide ribosomal RNA is filed under the name uncultured bacterium. Its description in RNAcentral is "partial 16S ribosomal RNA". It matches the Rfam family "Bacterial small subunit ribosomal RNA", at positions 524 to 776 of the family's 1533-position model. The record is from RNAcentral.